This 693-nucleotide unclassified non-coding RNA is filed under the name Hevea brasiliensis (rubber tree). Lineage: Eukaryota; Viridiplantae; Streptophyta; Magnoliopsida; Malpighiales; Euphorbiaceae. The record is from RNAcentral.
GGAUUAAAAAAAAAAGAAAAGGGGGCAAUAGCUUUACCUAGAAGCUAGAUACUAGCCCAGGCAACACAGCAGUUGCUAGAUGUACUUGACAUUUCCAUAUAAAAGCACCAUAAUUUGGACACUAAGAGCAAUUUAUCUUGUUCAAUUGAAGACGCUCAAUAGAGUUAAAAACAAAGAAAAAACGGCUACACUUUGUUGUAGGCAUUCUAGUGGAACGAUUUAAUUAAUUUACCAAACUUGUUGAUGUGGCUAACAGCCCUAACCCUAAUUAGGUUGUAACAGUAUGUGAGGUCAUGAGAAUAUAAGGAGAGAACAAAGAUAUCAAAACUCAUUUCUUGUUACAUAAUCAGAAAAAUUAAGCAGAAAAAAAAAUGCUUCAUUAACAAAAGCUUGCUUUCUUCUUCUGGUUACUACAUCACUUUUCACAUCAUAAAAGCCCUAAUAAAAUGAGAUCCUACCCUUUAACAAGACUAACCUCCGCUGCCCAAAAUUACACAAAAGACUAAGUACAUAAAUAACCCUAAGCUAAAACUGCUACAAGACCAUGAACAGUAAUGCACUACAGUGAUACAAACAGCAAUUUUAAAUUUUUUUCCCUUCAGUUUUCCACCUGAAUCAGCUUUCUGUCAUUGUUGAAGAGGAUAGUAGAUGUUGUUUCUUAUGUGAUAAUUCUCAAGAGUAGGCAACUUGGAC